Molecule: long non-coding RNA, 5931 nt
Filed under: Sus scrofa (pig)
Lineage: Eukaryota; Metazoa; Chordata; Mammalia; Artiodactyla; Suidae
Description: lncRNA (ENSSSCG00045013868.1)
Source: RNAcentral
UUUUUUUUUUUUUUUGGCUUUUUAGGGCCACACCGUGGCCUAUGGAGGUUCCUAGGCUAGGGGUUGAAUCAGAUCUACAGCCACUGGCCUACACCACAGCCACAGCCACAUGAGAACCGAGAUAUGUCUGUGACCUACCCCACAGCUCACAGCAAUGCCUGAUCCUUAACCCACUGAGCGAGGCCAGGGAUCGAACCUGCAUCCUCAUGGAUUGCAGUUGGGUUCUUAACCCACUGAGCCACAACAGGAGCUCCAACAAUUGGUGUAUCUUAAUCAUAGUCAAAAAUCUCCAUUUUUGCUAUAAAGUUUAAAUUUUUUUUUUCUGACCAGCAGAUCUUGUAGCCAAGAAAUAUUUUAAAAUGUGUCACACAAGUUAGGCUGUGGUCUUUACAUUAUGUCCUAAAGAAUUCUUUACAUUUUUACCAUGAAAGCAUAUGUCUGUCUAUGCAAAGAUGGCUCUGGGUUGGAAUCAGGCAGUGAGUCCUUCUUAAGACCUAAGAUUGCAGGGUCAACCCGAUGGCAAUCAUUCACUCUGUUCUCACAGCAACGACCAUCUCCUGCGAGAGGGGGGACCUGACUCAGUUCUCAUGUUCAGAACAGUUCUGAAGAGCUGUCACUCCCUCGCCUGUUCUUGAGAUGAGGUCGUUGAGGCCUGAGAGGGUUCGUCUAUGCAGCCAUUUCACUAGCAGUCAGUGCUGCGGCCGGUGUAGACUGAGAGGUGUAGGGCGUGGCCGUCCACCCGCACUGGUUCCUCGGCGUGGCCCCUUCUGGAAAGUCUUCCCUCCUUUUCAUUUGCUGAUGUAGAGAGGAAGGCAGCUGCUUUCCUGGGACUUUAUCCCCCUGCCUCUGCGGUAGUGACCUGGGAACCCCAGCCUGAAACACUGUAUCCCAGCCACUGACACAGCGCUGCCACAUUAAUAUAUCGACUUGGGGUCAUCCUCACUCAUGAAUAUUAACCGGGGGAUUCUUUUUUUUCUUUCUGUCUUUUUACAGCCGCACCUACGGCCUAUGGAAGUUCCUGGGCUCGGGUCGAAUCAGAGCUGCAGCCACAGCGACACCAGAUCUGAGCCACAUCCGCAACCUGCGCCACAGCUCGCUGCCACGCUGGAUCCUUAGCUCAUGAGCGAGGCCAAGGAUCCACGCUGCAUCCUCAUGGAGACUCUGUUGGACUCCUAACUUGUUGAGCCACAGUGGGAACUCCCUAACCGGGAGAUUCUUGCUGACUGCAUUCUGUGUCGGCCUUUGCUCAUAAACGCCCUUACUCCAGGUUGAACCCAGGUGCCCGACAGUCUGGGUCCCAACUUGUUAAUUUCUCGAUUCAGCUACAAAGAGGGUCAAAGGCAGAAACUCUCCGCUCUGUGAUGUUGCCUUAAAGGGUCAGUUUAGGGCAGCAGUGGUUGCACCGUUCCUUGUCAAAAGUAUACCUGUUCCUCUACGUAGGCACGGAAGCAGCGACAACGGGGACACAGCAGGAGAACCCUGGUGUGAAGCCCGAAAAAGUCUUAGCUAUGAAAGUGCAGGUCCAAGAGGCAUACUUGAUGGAACAUUAAAAAAAUAAUAAUCGAGAGCAAAUAAGGUCAUCAAGUUCAUUCAUGCUUCCGAGCCACACUCAUCAGGUUGUUGAGGGUGAAGAGACGUCACCCCAAAAGAAAAUAUUUGCGAUUCUCAAAGAAUUUAAGCAAACAAUUAGUGAGGCCUGUACGAAUCCCGUGUAGAGAUUUCCAGGUGUCUCUAGGAUUUGCGUGUCUCCGCAUCUGAUGCCAUCAGCGGUUUGUGUAACCCUAGCUGAUUCCAACAGGGUGAUGUUUUAGCCUGUGGAUGGGGUUUCUCUGUGACCCUUGCCUGGCGCUGUUCUCACAGGUCCGGGAACGAUGAAUCACAGAGGGAUCUGGCUCAAAGUCUUGGCCCUUACAUAAAGUAUGAUGAUUGAAUACAAGAAUGCAGUGAGGACACUUUUAAGCUGAGUAUUCAUCGAGGCAGAGAAUGCCAGCCGAUCUCUCACUGCGAGUACACAAAACGCUUGUCUGGUGCGAGCGUUCGUAUAACUAAGGAAUCACACUCAGUGGGUGUGAGCCUUUGAAAACGGGCUUUCAAUACAAGGUGACAGUGCACCCUCCCAACACUCCAGGGGACACGAGACACGAGAGAUGUGUUUGGUUGUCAGCCUGGGAGGUGGGAGCUACUGGUAUCCAGUCAGUAGAAAUCGGGGAUGCACGAAGCAAAGGACCUUACCAGGCACCGGACAGCAUCCCGUCCCAAGGAAGACUCAUCCGGCCUGGGGCGGGGGUGGUGUCAACAAACCCUGUUUUAAAAGCUAAGGCAGCACAGAUCUGGAAGUCAAACUUAGGGUAUGAGGGGAAACACGGGGGAAAGGAGAGACCGGGCUUUAGGAUUGACCCAUACCGGCUGCUCUACACGGUCUAAGCAAGUACCCAGGACCUACUGCCGAGCCCAGGGAACUCGGCUCAACAGUCUGGGAAAAGAACCUGAGAAAGAGUGGAUGUGUGUCUGUGUACGGCUGCUUCACUUUGCUGCACACCCGAAACGAACCCAACUAUUGUAAAUCAGCUCUACGCCCAUAAUAUGUAAUAACUAAAUAAAUACAUGCAAGCUAAAUCAGAUCCUGCCAUGUGCCGCUCGUGUCUCUUCGGGAGUUUCUUAUUCUGUUCAGGUCGAGAUCGAAGGCUUCCUGAGGCAGAGGGGCCCUCCAGGAUCCCACCCCCUGCUCGCCUUGGUCUGCCGCUCCCACUGCCCCACCGCCACCUGCCUCGCCAGCCACAACUCCACACCCCUCCCCUCGGCUUCUCACUGGAGCCGAGAAAACGCAGAUGCUCUGCUCCAAGCACACAGAGCCGACAGGCCGUGCAGACCACCUUCCAGAGACAGCAGCCCCUUCCCCACCCCCAGGUGAGUUUCUGUCCCCAUCACCUGUCUUGGGUUUCCACACGGCCCUUCUCACCACGUGACUUUUUACGUUUCAAUUAUUUAUUUUCCGUCUCCUCCCCCUAGAAAACUGACACCAGUCACAUGCGAUGCUGGUGCCUCCCGCAGUCCCUGCACAGAGCAGGUGCUCAGUCCAUAAUCGGUGACAGAAAGAGAAAGAAGAAGGAAUAAAGCAGUCGUACAGCGACCGUGCCCUGAGCAUUAAUUUUCGAAAGCCAUCCUUUCGCUGCAACUAUGAAAUAGUUGACAAGUUUACUAGCUAAAAAAAUUCACGUGCGUUAUUACAGAGAAAUCACGCCCCCCAGGAAAUCACUUUUGUCCAUUCACAUGAGAUCAUUGGAAAAGGUAACAGGUUGUCUGCUGUUAACACGCCUUGGUUCUAAUCUCUACUUACUCCCAAGUUCCGAGGUAAAGGGGAAUUUCAGAGUGUGGGAGGAGAACGUUUUCUACCUCUUCAAAGAGCCACAGGGCUGCUUUCUUUUCUCCCUAAGAGUGUUCACUUGCAGAACAAGAUGGCCGAAGUACGGAAGCAAGCAAGUGCCCACGGGUGGCUGGAUGGAUAACCAAGAGGUGAUACACGCACACACGAUGCAAUACGGCUCAGCCGGAAGAAGAAUGCAGUCUUGCCAUUCGUGACAACAUGAAUGGACCUAGGAGGUAUUGAGUGAAAUAAGCCAAAGACAAACACUCUAUGAUCUCAUUUAUGUGUGGAAUUUAAACCCCCCCCCCCAAACGAACACACACAACAACACAGAAACNAAGUCACAGAUCCAGGGAAGAGACAAGCGGGUGCCGGGGGAAGAUGGGGGUGAGAGAAGGAGGUGAGAGAGAUUGAAAGGUUCAAACUUCCAGUUACAAAACCAGUGAGACUUGGGGAUGAGAUGCACAGUGAGGGGAUAUGGUCAACCAGAGCGUCACAGCCUUUUUCUGGGGGGGGUAGCACCCACAGCAUAUGGAAGUCCCCAGGCCAGGGGCUGAAUCCGAGCCGCAGCUGCAGCAACAUCAGAUGCUUUAACCCACUGAGCCAGGUUGGGGAUCAAAUCCAUGCCUCCGUAGCCACCUGAGCCUCUGUCUUUGGAUUCUUAACCCACUGUGCCAUGGCGGGAACUCCAAUCACAUCCCAUCCUUUAAAAACGAACAAAACAGAAGCCUGCUUUGUCUGUUAAAGUCUUUGACACAUAAAAUGCAGACAUGUGCAGAAGGGACAGCCAGAGGCGUGCUAACAGGUGCCUCUUCUCAGGCUUCUGGGUGGUGACGUGAGUCAGAAGGUUAUCAAUGCAAAAGGUAAUGGCUCCCAGCACCUUCAGUGCCAGCGUGAAGGCAGCAGGGGAUCAGGGGUCGAAAGGGAAGCCCUGCAAAUGCAGGAGAGGCAGGGGUUUCGGUGGCCAGGGGACCCCAAAGUGCGGUGGAGAGGGAGAGGAAAAGGAAGCAGAAAUGCAGAGCAGCAGGUUCCGGGAUGCUGAAGUGCCUGGACCUCCUGCAGCAUCCGGAGGGGAGGUACCUGAGUGAGCGUGUAACGUGAAGGAGGCUGCACCUGUAAAGGGUUAUCAUCCAGCACAAAACGUGUCCAGCUGACUAGCUUCGAAGAGAGCUUAGAAAUGGAAGAGGGGCGAGAGUUUAGACUCAGGCAGCAGCAGAAGGAAGGGAAGCGGGGGGCGAACUGAGGUACAGACCCUUUGAGCCUGGGGACUGGGAGGGAAUCAGGACCAGCAAGGUGCCUGGUGAUGGGUGUGAGUUUGGGGCUGCAAAUGCGGACUCUGAAGUGACAGCCACCCAUGCAGGGGCUAAACCAAGCGCCAAUUAUUCGAACAAGAGCAUUUAUUAGGACUGAAAAGAAAAUGUCUAAGGGAGACACAAAAAUUGCUCCAGAGGGAGGAUUUUCUCCAGGAAAAGCAAGGUUCCUACAAGUAUGGAGACAGGACACAGUGCAGGUGACAGUGGAUACAAACAGGCAGAUGUAGGCUUGGGGGAGGGGCCAGGGGCUGGGAUGCGGGGGCUCUUGGCAGAGGGGAAGGGCUUCCAGAAGCAGGGCGAGGCUGACAGUACCAAAUACCACAGAAAGAUCAAGGCGGAGGAGGAAGGCAGGAGCGAUGGAGUAAUGCUUAAAAACAUCGAUUCUCUCUUAGUUACCUUCACUUGAGAUGGUUUUGGGGUGUAUUUUGGAAACAGAAGCGACCAGGAUCCAGGUUUUCAGUAAUGCUGGAGAAAAACAAACUAUAGCCGUUUGACUGAUUUAAUGCUAAGCAUGCUAUGCAAGGCAUAAAAAAUGUGAAAAUAUAUUUUAAACUCAUUACUCAUGCUGGCUGUAAUUCAUUCUGCAACCCUAUAGGAAAAUUCCUCUCUAGCCAGGCUACUGCAGGGAGGGAUAUGCUUGUGUUUUCCUCUUUGGCGUUAAGGAAAAACACAAAGGCUGAGAGAAGAGCUGGCACAGUCCUGGCACUUUCCAGGCUCUGGUUUCUAAAAUGUAGAAGUCGCAGCUUGACUCUGGAGACAGACACAUGUGGCUACUGUGUCACUACACGCAGGCAGGAUGCUCAGACCCCAAAUCAGCAUCUCCUUUGUGUUAAACCAAAGGAGCAAUGCCUUUUGUCUGGCCACAUCUGGGGCACACGGAAGUUCCCCAGCCAGGGAUGGAUCCUGAACCACGGCAGUGACCUGAGCCACAGCAGUGUCAGCACUGCAUCCUUAACCCACUGAGCCACCAGGAGACUCCAGAACAAUGCCUUUUUAAAAUUUUAUUUCUUUUACUAAAGCAUAUUUGAUGUACAAUGUUGUGACAAUUUCUGCUGCAUGUGGAGCUUCCUGGGCUAGGGGUCAAAUCGGAGCUGCAGCUGAGACCUAUGCCACAGCUUGUGGCAACGCUGGAUCCUUAGCCCACUGAGCAAGGCCAGGGAUUGAACCCACAUCCUCACAGACACUAUGUCGGGUUUUUAACCUGCUGAGCCACAACGGAUACUCCCAACAAUGCCUUUUAAAUUUCUGACUUCU